GGGCCUGUAGCUUAGUGGUGGAGCACCCGGCUCAUAACCGGGUGGUCGUGGGUUCGAACCCCUCCGGGCCCA
This 72-nucleotide transfer RNA is filed under the name Candidatus Methanorbis basalitermitum. Its description in RNAcentral is "tRNA-Ile". It matches the Rfam family "tRNA". From Rfam's summary of the family: Transfer RNA (tRNA) molecules are approximately 80 nucleotides in length. Their secondary structure includes four short double-helical elements and three loops (D, anti-codon, and T loops). Further hydrogen bonds mediate the characteristic L-shaped molecular structure. tRNAs have two regions of fundamental functional importance: the anti-codon, which is responsible for specific mRNA codon recognition, and the 3' end, to which the tRNAs corresponding amino acid is attached (by aminoacyl-tRNA synthetases). tRNAs cope with the degeneracy of the genetic code in two manners: having more than one tRNA (with a specific anti-codon) for a particular amino acid; and 'wobble' base-pairing, i.e. permitting non-standard base-pairing at the 3rd anti-codon position. Lineage: Archaea; Methanobacteriati; Methanobacteriota; Methanomicrobia; Methanomicrobiales; Methanocorpusculaceae. The record is from RNAcentral.